CCUUCCCUCCCAUCCGCCGCCUUGUUGGGCUCGCUGCGCCACUGCGCCCAUACAUCCAAGACGCUAAUCCGCGUAGGGAAAGACGCCCUGAAAUCGUCCAAAUGGCGCGAGGCGUGCCACAGCCGCAGUCGUCUCGUGUGCAGGCCCUCUACGAGCUCUGCAAGCGCUCCUUCCCCUCCCCUUCCGCCGCCGGCGCCGCCUCGUCGUCUCCCCCGCCCGCUGAUGUCAUCCGCAGCAUCUCCUCUCUCAUGGAUACAAUCACUCCUGCGGAUGUUGGGCUCAGAGAUUAUAAUCUUGAGGACGACAGGGGGCAUGGAUUUUUUGGCUCCGACUUGCUCAAGGGUUCAGGAAGGCUGCCUCGGUGGGCGAGGCCCAUCAAGUACCUUCAUAUCUACAGCUGUGAUGCGUUCUCUAUUGCAAUAUUCUGCUUGCCAACUUCAUCUGUCAUUCCUCUUCAUGACCAUCCCGGAAUGACUGUACUGAGCAAAAUCCUUUAUGGUUCCAUUCAUGUGAAAUCAUAUGAUUGGAUAGAGCCUACUGUCCUAGCAAGAAGCCAGCCAGCAAGGUUGGCCAAAUUACAUAUGGAUGAUGUUCUUACUGCUCCAUGUCCAACCUCCAUUUUGUAUCCUCAAAGUGGUGGGAAUCUGCACUGCUUCACUUCAGUAUCUUCUUGUGCUGUUCUUGAUGUCCUUGCUCCACCAUAUAACAAUGACGCUGGUCGGCUUUGCACUUAUUUUCAUGACUAUCCAUUUUCAAGCCUCUCAGCAGCUGGACGCAGAAAGGUAGCUGGUGACCCAGAUAAAUAUGCAUGGCUGGAGGCCAUAAACACUGAAGUGAAUGUCUACAUGCAAACUGGCAUGUAUACCGGUCCAACUGUACAGGAACUUCAAGCAUGAUCUAAGAUGAACCGGAACAUCAAGCAGCAGCUGGGUGCCUCUUCGCUGAUAGUAGAUCUCUAAUGUUGCGAUAUAAAAUUCAACCAUCUCUUAGGGCUAUUCAGUCCUUUCAACGGGCCUAGCACUGCCACUGACACGUGCAAAGACAAUCAAGCGGAUUUCUCCUAUGAUCAUCAAAAGAACAAGAAACGGAGUACCAUUUCACUGGUUUUGCUUUGUAACGGCUAGUAGGUAUUGUUUGGGCGUGUCAAACACCGAUGUACCGUUUUCAUGUUUGAGUCUUGUUUUUAGAAGGAAAAUGUCCCUUUUCUAACGUUGAUGUACCGAUGUGAGUCUAGGUACUCAAUCUGGCAACACAAUAUGCAGAUUUUAGCUUUAAUCUGUUCUCGGAUCUACUUGACUACUUUAUCUCAAUUCUCAAACUCCUUCUGAUAGCAUGUUAUUUAUUGUACUUAGCUGAAACCAUACUCUUUAUAUUAUAGACUUUUGAGUACCUAGCUCAUGGUUUCAAUUUA
RNA transcript from Sorghum bicolor (sorghum), 1411 nucleotides. It is a transcript of the gene named plant cysteine oxidase 3, with no coding region annotated. The record is from RefSeq and is a predicted model, not a curated record. Lineage: Eukaryota; Viridiplantae; Streptophyta; Magnoliopsida; Poales; Poaceae. The transcript is spliced from 8 exons.